AUAUGAUGAAAAGGAUUGUUGUUGGUCCAUGUUUUCAGUUCCUAUAUUUAUCCUCGGAAUUCAGGGUGUUACAAAUGAUUGUCACAAACAACAACAUUUGGCAAUCCUAUUACAUGGAAGUAACAACAAUGUAAUACGUUCUUUGAAAUGAAUAACUUUGUAACGUUUGUUUUGUUUUGUCCAUGGCUUGAAUUGGUUUUCUCGCUCAACAUUCUGCAAAAGAGAACACACAGUCAAGAAAAACCACCAAGAAAAGUAAAAGAACAAAGCAAUAAAAUUGUGCUACUAAGCAGGCGUAUGGUAUGAACUAAAUGCCAGUAUUAAUACUCUAAAACCAUAUUAGUAUAGCAAAUGUAGGGCUAACAUACAGAUAUGCAUAUGGCUAGAGUGCUACACUGCUACACAAUGUGUGUAACAAAGAUUAGAAAUAUUUCUUUUAACUCCAGAAGAAUUAAGCUAUUCUGAUUUAAAAAAGUUUGUGCAAGUACAUGCAAAAUAUAUUCGGUCCUUAAUAAGGGAUAGAAGUGUGAUCAUUAGCAGCAUGACAACACACUUAAUUUGUCUGAUUUAACCAAGAGCAUAAGUAUAACCAUAUACAGUGUAAAAAUCAAUGUGUGAUUUAGAUAGGUAAAUCCUCUGUGUAACGAAUAAUAAUAUCUCGGUUGAUGAUAUAUAUUUUCAAAGUGAAGGUUGAAUAAAAUAACAGGUUAAAGUUGUAGCAAACCACCGCUACGUUUACUUGCCUCUAACAACGAAGAGACGAUACCAAGCAUAAUCCGAAGCACCACCACCUAUUCACAAGACAACCUCAGCAUAUACACUCAAACAUGCAUAUAAAACAAUAAAUAAUAUACCCCUACGGCCCCAGCCCGUUAACACGCAAAUACAAGGAACGCCGCUUGGACUAUAAACAACACUGCUGAUUCAAACAUUUAUAUGUCAAAAUAUAAAAAGGAUAUGACUGCAAAUAAAUACACUUUGGAAAUCUACAGAACAAUACCUACAACUUUUGUGUAGAAAGAAUACUUUUAUUCUGCCAUUUAAAUGGUCUAAUUUGCGCUUGAAAGCAGGCUUCAGAAUCUGCCCGAGAAUUCAGACUGCCACACUAAAAUAACCAUAUCUGGAGUUCUACUCAUCCGAUCAAAGUGUACUUUACCAACAUAGAAAGCUUAGAGAAAACUCUACAACUUUGUCUAUAGAGAUCUUGACUGAUUCCACUGUUUAUCCCCUCUGAAAACAGUUCAAUCUACUAUUGUCCAGAUUAUGACAUAAAAACAACAGUCAUACUCAAAAAUUCAUAUAUCCUUAACCACACAAGGUAAAAUCACGCCCUUUGGUCAGAAAAUAGAUCUAUGAAUUGUCUACAACUUCCUAGUUAUACACUUUCGCAGAAAACAUCAUUUAGACCCCCGAAACAACAAAAAACUGAAACACUGCAAAUCUGCCAACAGAGGAGAACUACCAAACCAAACAACAACAAACAAAACCCCUUCUCUAACCUUCGUUUACCACGAAUUAAACCACUAAAAUCACCUAGAACAACUGAUACAACAAGGGGGUAAACCUCACCUAGGGUUUCUCUUUUAUAUCCCGUGGGAAACGGCGGGGAAACUCCGAUCCAACCCAUCCUUCUUCUCCUCUCCUUCUCGUCGUUCCGUUUUUCCACUUCGCUUCUUGAUCCAAGCUAUGAAGGUAGAGAUCUCGGGAGAGCAAUAUAUGCUAGAGAGGAGAGGAAGAAAACUACGUACAGGAGGUGAGGGUGGAGGAGUCACGGCCGGCAUCAAAG
RNAcentral lists this long non-coding RNA (1786 nucleotides) under Oryza sativa (Asian cultivated rice). RNAcentral's name for it is "long non-coding RNA (OSAT_LNC000707)". The record is from RNAcentral. Lineage: Eukaryota; Viridiplantae; Streptophyta; Magnoliopsida; Poales; Poaceae.